This 301-nucleotide ribosomal RNA is filed under the name uncultured bacterium. Its description in RNAcentral is "partial 16S ribosomal RNA". It matches the Rfam family "Bacterial small subunit ribosomal RNA", at positions 509 to 809 of the family's 1533-position model. The record is from RNAcentral.
CAGUCGCCACGGGAACACAGAGGGUGCAAGCGUUAAUCGGAAUUACCGGGCGUAAAGCGUGCGUAGGCGGUUUGUUAAGUCUACUGUGAAAUCCCCGGGCUCAACCUGGGAAUGGCAGUGGAUACUGGCAAGCUAGAGUGUGUCAGAGGAUGGUGGAAUUCCCGGUGUAGCGGUGAAAUGCGUAGAGAUCGGGAGGAACAUCAGUGGCGAAGGCGGCUAUCUGGGACAACACUGACGCUGAGGCACGAAAGCGUGGGGAGCAAACAGGAUUAGAUACCCCCGUAGUCCCUGUCUCUUAUAA